UACGUAGGGGGCUAGCGUUGUCCGGAAUCAUUGGGCGUAAAGCGCGUGUAGGCGGCCCGGUAAGUCCGCUGUGGAAGUCGGGGGCUCAACCCUCGAAUGCCGGUGGAUACUGUCGGGCUCGAGUGCGGAAGAGGCGAGUGGAAUUCCUGGUGUAGCGGUGAAAUGCGCAGAUAUCAGGAGGAACACGGAUUGCGAAGGCAGCUCGCUGGGACGUUACUGACGCUGAGACGCGAAAGCGUGGGGAGCAAACAGG
RNAcentral lists this ribosomal RNA (253 nucleotides) under uncultured bacterium. Its description in RNAcentral is "partial 16S ribosomal RNA". It matches the Rfam family "Bacterial small subunit ribosomal RNA", at positions 524 to 776 of the family's 1533-position model. The record is from RNAcentral.